Molecule: long non-coding RNA, 1040 nt
Organism: Corvus hawaiiensis (hawaiian crow)
Lineage: Eukaryota; Metazoa; Chordata; Aves; Passeriformes; Corvidae
Exons: 4
Source: RefSeq, a predicted model, not a curated record
AAUAUGGUGAAAAAUGAUUUAGAUUAAAUAGCAAAUGAUCCACUGUUUUUCCUUCUUUGUCAGCCCUUCACAUAACAUUGUGGACAUUUUCUCCUAGAUUUGUUCUUGCAAAGGAAAUAAAAGUUUCCACUCCCAAAGUGAAUUCUCUUAGAUCAGCAGAAAGUUUACCACGUGUUCUAGACUACCAAGGCAUCUAUCAUGGGCCACUUCCCAAGUCUGAAUUUCCUGAGUUCACAACAUAAAAUCAGCAAGCACAUGGGGAUGUGAAGCCACCAGUGGAGCAUCUGGUACAGCAGAGAGAAGCAGAUCAAGAGAAUACAAAGCAAUACCUACAGAAAGGAAGAUGUUGUAAAUAUAAUAUUCAAGAAGUAGUUUUCAUAGAAGGUGAGAAGAUAUUUUGGAAAUAUACUAAUUAUUGCUUGAAGUAGAAAGUUGGAGACCAGAGAAGAACUACCAAGUCUCACAGCCACAUUCAUAGUGUAUGGCAACAUCAGAUAAAUUGUUAUGGUGAAGAAGUGAAAUUGAAGAAGCGAUAAUGAGCGAGACUUUGAGGAACCCUGCAAACUCACUUCUGCUUUAAAAAAGAAAACUGCAGUAGAUAUGGUAACAGAAUCAGACUCUCUCAAGCACAAACACCACCACUUGUUUAUGUUAUUACUCCCUUUUGCAAAGCAAAAUCCCAAAAACUAAAGUAAUUUUUGCAGUACAAACAUAAUUUAGCUUGAUUUGCACGUUGUUGUCCUUUUGAAAUCCUGGCAACCAGAGAUAGGUGUCCUGCUUUGGCUGUGGACAUCUGGUCACCCUCAAAUGGAGCCAGUAAUGCUAAUUAAUUCUAGCAGUACACAAUGCCUUGUUCUGUACUGUCAUAAUUCACUGAAGGCAGUGAAAGCUAUACCCCUCUCUGUGAGGUUGCAAGCAAGCACGUGAUUGGAAUAUUAUUCCAUCUGUAUUUCAUGUUCUUCAUUAGCCCUCAUUUACUGCAAAGGAAAGUUCAAUUGCUCAUACUUGGGGAAAACAGCAGGUUAAUUUAACUUGCUGAA